This 4494-nucleotide small RNA is filed under the name Drosophila virilis. Its description in RNAcentral is "GJ27046". Lineage: Eukaryota; Metazoa; Arthropoda; Insecta; Diptera; Drosophilidae. The record is from RNAcentral.
UUUCUAGCAUUUCCCUUUGAGUAGUCGUGCUGAGUGGACGUGUGUUUUUAAACGUUCUGUGUCUGGAAAGUUGUAUAACCAGAUAGUGAUAUAGCGCGCUGGCUAACUAUUCGGCAGCAAAAGAGUCGCAAAACGUGUGCAAACCUGUUAUACAUACAUAGAUUGUAAUGAAAAAUGUGAAGGCUGUGAAGAGUGUGAUAUGAAGAGGACGAGCAAAUGGCCUUCGUAAGCGAGUAGUGUGAGUCAUGGGAGACUGCCGUAUGUCAACGCUCACCAAAAAGAAGCCUUUGGUCCGGAAUUCACACUCGUUUUCCUGCUCCUCGAAACGUUAAUGGCAACGAUGAGGAGGAACGGAACACUUGACAAACAUCCGCAUCAAGAACGAAAUCGAACUGACACACAAACCAACCAAUCGAUGGGCAAAUUGUCGGUACCUACCAUCGCGCGUCAGUCAAUAAUCGUUUCCAAGAAUUUCGUUUCUAUAACUGAGAGAGUCUUCACGUCUGUCCGUCUUCCGUCAACCACAAUGGCAGCGACUUGCAAGCCAGCCGAUCCUACACAGUUCGCAGCGGCAGCAGCAGCAGCAGCAGCGGCAGCAGCAAACACCACCGAGUCUCCCUUGCCCAAAAUGCCAGAUGCAGCUGACAAGUAAAAUGGGGACAAGGCGGAAUUGCGCGCGGCAGCAGCAGCAGCAGCAGCUUUAGCUCAACAGCAAGCAAACACGUGUGUGCCUUAUGCCUCCUGGUCGGUUACCAUCACAACUAUCACUACCUACUCUACAUAAAGCGGUCAGCAGUUGCUGACGGCGCAUCCACCACCAACCCACACAGAUAUCUCUGCAUACACGCGGUAUUCGUAUAUCAGCUGCGAACGCAAAAACAAUUACUUUUUGAAACAGAUUUACAGCACAAGGAGCACGAAAGAAAGCAUCCAUCAACGUCGUCAUCAUUGGAAUUUCUCUUAAAUUACACAGUUAUCUUGAAGGUCUGUCAUCAUCGUCAACGUCUACGUCUUCACUUUGGGUUCGUCGUAUUUUCAUCUGUGUCCUUCGUUUUAUUCUGCUGGCACGUAAGCCGUAUCGAAUUUUUCUCCUUGAAUAACUCUUGAAUUACAGUCAUAAUUGCAAAGCAGUCGGUUCUUGCACAAGUCUACAAAUUGAUAGAGGAGUAAUAAUCGAGCACACUUGCGUUUUAUGAGUCUAUGCGUCGCUCAUUAUAGGAAGAAGUUUGAAAUUUUACCCCAAAAUUGUUACGCAUAAAUACGUGGGCUUCAAUUUUUUUGUAGCGAUGCGUCACAGUUGAACAGUGCCUGUGAGCGUCGGAUUUCAUCAGCGGGACCUCGCAUCCUUUCUAGGCUUUGCACUCAUGGGGUGUCGAGAGUGGAAGAUCAACCACAGAGUGUCGUCGUCUGCCGUUUAACGCAAGCAAUAUGGAUGCACCCGAACUUUAUCCUCUUGUCUAGGAAAAAGACUAUUUUUCGUUUACUAUAUUUUUAGAGAAACGUCGCAGUUGAACGGUGCCUGCGUGCGUCUGUAAGGAAGUUAUCAAGAAAAUAUGUCGAUGAGAUAUCGCAACCAUCAAUUUUCCUAUCAAAUCAUUGCAAUUUUAGUGGGCUGCUCAAUGUCAGUACGCCAGGAGCACAAGUCGACAUAAUCAAAUGGCAAAGCGUAACUCGUUUGUUAUUCUUAACAUGCACAAAAUGUUGCGUUUGUUUCUCUUUUAGAAUAUUGAGCCCAUGAUAUAGAUGCGCACAAUCACAAACGAUACACAUGUCUGUUGAAAAAGAGCUGAAACCUUGAAACUGUUUACAGUCUUGCCGGAUCGGAUAGCGUAACUUUUAUAAUUAGUACUCUUAAAAUUUGGCUUCCGUAGCCAACUACAAACUUUGAUCGUACACUUGUUUAUGAUUUCCAGCCAUGGACUGGCUGCCAAAGCCUAUAUCUAACGAGAGCGAGGUGGAUAUGUUAUCCUGCACGUAAUGUUCGGAGGAUCCUGUUCAGAACUAUAUAGCAGAGAGAAUCAAACGAGAAAAGCGUAAAUUUUGAGCUUAUCCACACAAAAACAUAUCUUUUUGUAUUUUAUAGCAAUAUGACGCAGUUGAACUGUGCCUGCGCAUAUUGGAAUUAGUUAGACCCAUAAAUUGGGCAAUACUUGUAAGAGUUCAGCGAGGAAGCGUCAUCUUAAAGGAUUUUCACGUAAACUAUUUGAAUAUCCCUGUGCACAAAUCUUCCUUUUUCGUAUCUUGUAGCUAUAUAUAACCGCAGUUGAAUGUGCCUGCGCAUAUCUGUCGGUAGCUGCUUCACAAUGAUAAAAGGGAAAAAGGGACCGUUUCGGCGAAGAAAUCAAGAUUUGGUUCUUUACCGGUGGAAACCAACCCCCUCUAUAAUCGUCAACUGCAAAAAUGGAUUUGUUACCUUUACUUUUUCUUCCCCUAGCUUGAUUUUCUAAGCAUAUUAUGUAUUAAUUGCAGUGGUUGCGUUUUUGGUUGAUGUUCGGAUGUUCACAAAACACACAUUAACUCCAAUGAAUACCUGUAGCAAAAUUUGUUGAGGCAAUGGGAAUCAAAUGCCAACUUGAAAGCAAUAAACACAUCGAUACGAACCGAAUUCCAACAUCAAUGUCGAUAAACCGAAACCGAACUGUUGUCAAGGUCAGCCCGACACUGAAUACAUCUUGAAUUGCUUAAACCUGUUUUACAGCCAAGCGAAAAGACGAUACUGAGUACACGAAUAAUACCUUCAUAAAGGCAGCAACACUUGUCAUCGUUUUUAGAGCGAGGAUAAUAGGCAUGCCCCCCACUUCUGUCACUUCGGAUUCAAGUCAAAGCGUGAGACAUUUGCGUUCGCUUAUCAUUUGCUUUGCACUUUCACUUUUGCAGCGAAUGCAUUGCUUGUGCGCAUAUACCUUUUACUGCCAAUUGCGUUUUUUGGACCGGUCUGGAAGCGGCCGAUGUACACAAACAAACCACCUUUUCUCCAUCUCCAAACUACUACUAGCUCUCACACUGCAAAAUCGUUAAAGGGAAUCAAGAACGAUACAUCAAGUUCAUCCAGCUAGGCAAAUCGUCAAGCAAUGCCAGCACCAACACCACCACCACAACAACAAAAUAUGUUACAGCUGCCUUGAUGGCCAGAGAGUUGCAGAUCUCUAAAUAGAUCGAUCACUCGCUCACAACGUACAAUGUACAAUUAACGUUUUUACAUUACAGAAAACGUAAGCUGCAAAAUAAUGGCUGUGUUGGGUGGUUGGCGCUCUGGCGCCACACAGACAGCUCCUGCGCUCACAAUCCAACCACUUGAGCGGAGCCAGACUCUGUUCUCACUCCGCCGAGGAGGCAUCCCAACCUAGCUCGGCAGGCCAGCCUGGGUCAGCUCAGCCAGCAGCACGUAAUGCAUUGCACCGCAUAGAAAUAUGCGCUCGGUCCGCGCUAAAGGGAAACAAAUGCGUUUGGACCGAGACCCGCCACACCACAAAAUACCAGCAGUCGCUAAUGAGGCGAGCUGAUGUGUUGUCGUUGUUAUCGGGCAGCUGCCUGCAAGUACGCUACGUCAUCGUCGCAACAGCGUCGCCGCCGCCUCCGCCACCUAUGUAGUAGAAGCAGCUGAGCCAGCUAUAACGACCCGAUCUAUGGAGCUCGUGGCUUAUCGCAAAAGGGAACCAAAUGCGACUAGUAUUCAAGCAGCAGAACGAAGAGCUGUGCAGAAACAGCAACAACAGCAGUCGAGGCAGACAGACGGCGGCUUUCAAUGGGCAGAGUUGACGGCGGUGGUAUUCGAGAUCAACUGGUUUUAUAAUCUGUUGCAAAUUAUCCGCUCAUUCUCACUCCACUUCAUAGGUAGCACACAUGUUUUAACAGAAAACUCCGGUUAUCAAAAUCCAUCGCAAAGGGAAUCAAAUGCGAUUAGUGUUCGAUGACGAAGAAGCUAGCUAGUCAGACCAGCUCUACGCUACGCUACGCUUCGAUUUGCCAGUUGAGCGCUUAACUCCUGGUGCACCGUUCAACAUUCCGCAAAAGGGAAUCAAUUGCGAGGUGGUACUGCAGCAACGCACGCACACACACACGCACACAGACACCCACCCACCCACACACAUUCACGCAUACAUGCGGAAUUUCCUGUUAUGUGGGGCAGUCCAACACGUCCCACUUGGCCCAAAGAGCAUCCAAAUGCGAUUAAGAGCAGCAGAAAGCAGGCAGGCGGCAGGCAGGGAAACGAUGCCCGCAGCGAAAGACAUCUACUUGUCGUCGUCGUCGUCAUCAUCAUUGUUCAUGUUGUUGUUGUUAGUGGUGUGUAUACAUUUUUCAGGUAAAUUCCAACCCAGCCGACUAGGACAGUUGUCUGUCGGUCUGCCCAGCACACGUACUACACGUCAAGUUGUUCUCGAAGGGAAUCCAUGAGACACGCGCUACAUCUGCAUACGACAUAUUAUUUUUCAAUGUAUUUUUUGUUUUUUUUUCUUCUAAGUUUAUUAUGUACUUACAUGAUCAUACAAUUAA